UACGUAGGGUGCGAGCGUUAAUCGGAAUUACUGGGCGUAAAGCGUGCGCAGGCGGUUUGUUAAGACAGAUGUGAAAUCCCGGCGUAACCUGGGAACUGCAUUUGUGACUGGCAAGCUAGAGUAUGGCAGAGGGGGGUAGAAUUCCACGUGUAGCAGUGAAAUGCGUAGAGAUGUGGAGGAAUACCCGAUGGCGAAGGCAGCCCCCUGGGCCAAUACUGACGCUCAUGCACGAAAGCGUGGGGGAGCAAACAGG
This 253-nucleotide ribosomal RNA is filed under the name uncultured bacterium. RNAcentral describes it as "partial 16S ribosomal RNA". It matches the Rfam family "Bacterial small subunit ribosomal RNA", at positions 524 to 776 of the family's 1533-position model. The record is from RNAcentral.